Zonotrichia albicollis (white-throated sparrow) is the source of this 5099-nucleotide non-coding RNA. The record is from RefSeq and is a predicted model, not a curated record. NCBI's taxonomy places the organism in Eukaryota, Metazoa, Chordata, Aves, Passeriformes, Passerellidae.
CUUGGCCACCUGGGCACAUGCUGGCUUGUAUUCAGCUGCUGACCAGCAUCCCCAGGCCUCAGCCCCUUGAUCCAGCCUGUCCAGAUCCCUCUGCAGAGCCUUCCUACCUUCCAGCAGGUCAGCACUCCUGCCCAGCUCAGUGUCAGCUGCCAACUUAGUAAGGGUGCCCUUGAUCCCCUCAUGUGGAUCAUUGGUAAAGGUGCUGGAGAGGGCUGAUCCCAGUUCUGAGCCCUGGGGAGCACCCCUGGUGAUUGGCCACCCCUGGUGAUUGGCCACCAGCUGGAUGUAGCUCUGUUAGCUCUGUUUACCACCACUCUGGGCCCAGUUUUCUGCCCAGGGAACCCUGGUCAAGCCAUGAGCUGCCAGUUUGUCCAGGAGAAUGCUGGGGCAGAUGGUGUCAGGUCUCAGCCUUGCUAAGCUCUGGGUAAGCUACACCCAUGGCCUUUCCUUCAUCCCUCAAGUAAUUUUCUUUGCUGGGAAAUGAAGGUUGUGAGGUGUUUAUGGAACAUUUUUCAAUUUCAGGUAGCUUUGAAUUUAGAAUAUAUUUAUUAUUUCAUGUGAAACAAUUCAGCCACUGAGAAUAUUGCUGGAGUAAUUCAGGAAAAUAAGCUUUUAAAAAUAUGAAAAAUGUGCUAAAUUUUAAAAUUUACAUAAUAGAAGAAAAGCAGCUGAAGCAAUUUUUUUUCUGCUUAAUUCCUUGCAGGGAUGUCUAAAGAGUGAUUAAGCAUACCUGAUGGGAAGUCUAACACAGAUACCCUAGGAAAUUCUGGUGAUUAAAGAUCAUGGCAACCAUAGAGGAACUGGCCCAUCAAAUUUUUGAACAGCAGAUGGGAGAGGUUACACAUUCACAGGAAGGAGGUGCACAGACACUCAUGGAUGGGGCAGCACAGCGAAUACAGAUUGUCCCUGCAGAUUCGGGCCUCUCUUUAUCACAGCGUAUACAGAUUGUCACAGAUCAGCAGACGGGCCAGAAGAUUCAGAUUGUUACAUCACUUGAUCAGAGCUCAGCAGGCAAGCAGUUCAUCUUAACAAAUCAUGAUGGCUCUACCCCAAGCAAGGUGAUCCUUGCCAGACAAGAUUCCACUCCAGGAAAAGUUAUCCUAGCAACUCCAGAUGCUGCAGGUGUCAACCAACUGUUUUUUGCAUCCCCUGAUAUAUCUGCACAACACAUCCAGAUUUUAACGGACAACUCCCCCAAUGAACAGGGCCUAAAUAAAGUGUUUGAUCUGUGUGUUGUGUGUGGAGACAAAGCAUCAGGGCGUCAUUAUGGAGCAGUGACCUGUGAGGGAUGCAAAGGGUUCUUUAAAAGGAGCAUACGGAAGAAUUUGGUUUAUUCGUGCCGAGGAACGAAGGACUGCGUCAUUAACAAGCACCACCGGAAUCGCUGCCAGUACUGCAGGCUGCAGAGAUGCAUCGCCUUUGGCAUGAAACAGGAUUCUGUACAGUGUGAGAGGAAACCUAUUGAAGUGUCAAGAGAAAAAUCUUCCAACUGUGCAGCUUCUACAGAAAAGAUCUACAUUCGGAAAGAUCUCCGCAGUCCAUUAGCUGCAACCCCAACUUUUGUAACAGACAAUGAAACAGCAAGAUCAACGGGUUUGCUGGAAUCAGGAAUGUUUGUUAACAUUCAUCCUUCUGCAAUAAAAAGUGAACCUACUGUGCUGAUGACUCCAGAUAAGGUAGAAGCAUGUCAAGGAGAUUUAAGUACACUGGCAAAUGUAGUGACUUCAUUAGCAAAUCUCAGUAAAUGCAAAGACGUCUCACAAAGCAGUACAGAGCUAUCCAUGAUUGAAAAUUUGAGUAAUGGAGAUGCAUCAUUAUCUGAACUCAAGCAAGAAGAACAAGCUAGUAGUGAUGUUACAAGGGCAUUUGAUACUCUUGCAAAAGCAUUAAAUCCAGGAGAGAGUGCAGCAUGCCAGAACUCUGAAAGCAUUGACACCAGUGCACAGCUGCUUGGUGGAGAAACAAGCAUGAACAUCGUGGAAAUAGAGGGGCCACUACUCAGUGAUGCUCAUGUAGCAUUCAGGCUCACCAUGCCUUCUCCUAUGCCUGAUUAUCUUAAUGUUCACUAUAUUUGUGAGUCUGCCUCCAGGUUGCUUUUCUUGUCCAUGCACUGGGCACGUUCCAUUCCAUCUUUCCAAGCUUUGGGGCAGGAUAACAGCAUAUCAUUAGUAAAAGCCUGCUGGAAUGAACUUUUUACGCUUGGUCUGGCACAAUGCUCACAAGUUAUGAACGUGGCAACGAUCUUAGCUGCUUUUGUUAAUCACCUUCAAGGCAGUUUACAACAAGAUAAGCUGCCAACAGACAGAGGAAGACUAGUAAUGGAGCAUGUCUUCAAAUUGCAAGAGUUUUGUAACAGCAUGGUUAAACUGUGUCUGGAUGGGUAUGAAUAUGCAUAUUUGAAAGCAAUUGUUCUCUUCAGUCCUGAUCAUCCAGGUCUAGAAAAUGUGGUACAGAUUGAGAAAUUUCAAGAAAAAGCUUACAUGGAGUUCCAAGACUAUGUAACAAAGGCAUAUCCAGAUGAUACCUACAGGCUAUCUAGACUCCUUCUGCGAUUGCCUGCUCUCAGGCUGAUGAGUGCUGCCAUCACUGAAGAGCUGUUCUUCGCAGGACUGAUUGGCAAUGUUCAGAUUGACAGCAUCAUCCCAUACAUUCUGAGAAUGGAGACAGCAGACUACAACUCUCAGAUCAUAGGUCAUGGUGUGUAAAAGGAGCAGCCCAGGAUUCUGUACCAUGGCAAUCAUGGUGAUGUAAAUGCAUACCCUGUCUCCAAGAGAUGGUCAUAAGCCUUCCAGUGCACCUUUCCAAAGAAGGCUCAUAUUCCUCCUUUCCAGUACACUUGGGAAACGUGGUGGAGUGUAUUAGGAUAUAGGAUCUCUUCCUGUUCUUCAUCUGUCUUCAAGGACUUGUAAAUUAACUUGAUAUCUGAAGAAGGUCAAGAAUUGUCCAUCCUAUUUUUGUAGGUAGACGGACUUGGAAUAUUUGUUUAUGAAGUUCAGGCUUAUGAGGAAACUGAAGAACUUUGAUUGAACUAAGGCCUCCUUUAAUUAUUAAAUGGCCACUGGGAGCUCUCCUCGGAGCCUUCUCUAGGCUGAACAACCCUAACGCUGUCUGUCUUCAUGGGAGAGGGGCUUAAGCCCUCUGACCAUUUUUGUGGCCCUCUUCUGGAUGCACUGAAUUCUGUAGGGCCCUGUUCCCCAGUCAGUCUGCUAAUGAACUGCUCACUGUUCUGCUAGGAACUUCCCACAGCCUUUUGGCCUCCUCUGGGGCAUUUGACUUUUUCUGUCAACAAACAUCCCUAAUGCCCAGGCUGGCCUUACCUCCUAAUACCUCUGUCAGAUAAUUCCAAAGAACAUUUCUGUUGAAUCAUAGAAUCCAUCUAUGGUGUGCUGCUUUGUUUUUCUUCCCAUGUGUACCAAGUCUUGUGCUGAUACAUGCUGUGGAUAGCCUUACCCUUCCUCUGAUACACAAUGGCUAAGAGAAAGUACAAUUUUCUCUUGGGUGAAUCUUUAUGAGAAGAAGUCAGGCUUGUGCCUUUGGCUGGACUGUAAGAACCAGCUGUGCCCUCAGAGGCACUGUGUUGCAGGUGCAAGUCAUUUGGACUGCUGGAGCAUCACCAUCUUCAACUCUCAACAUCUGGGUGCUUAAGGUUCUUGUGGCUGUUGAUACUGGUUGAACAAAUGCAUUUCCUGAUUAUUUUUUCAAUAACUGGAUCUUGUAGUAAUGCUUGCCCAAAUAUAUUUUUAAAUUAACUCUGCUUGGAUUAAAGGGAGGUGGUGGGGUGAUAAUCAGGUGAUUCCUGAUAAGCAGACAGGAAUAUUUGUGUUCUGUGUGAAAUGAUAGGGGAAAAGGGAUAGCACAGAAAGGAUGUUCUAGGAAUGCUUUUGACUAAACUGUAGUGGAUUUGCCUGUGACAACAGAGAAAGCAGAUGGAACUGUGGGUUUUUCUGAGCUGACACAGGACAUUUCACUCAGCAGAACUGCCUGCUGACAUCCAGAGAACCAAAUGCCAUGCUCUGAACCUCCUGGUGAUACCAACUCCCCGGACAAGAGAGUUGGUGAGCAAGAGACAUGUGAGCAGCCAACCCUGUGGCUUUGGUCCUUAGCAGACCUGCAGUCCAGUCCCUCCCAAUGAGCUGUUCAUGAGGUGUCUGAGCUUGUUUAUGAUGAUUUCAGUUCUCCUGCAUCCUAGGGUUUUAUCAGGGAGCAAACUGAACAGCCACCUAGUUUGGCUAAUGAAGGCUCCCUGAGGAACAGCUCCAAAAGGAAUUUUUCUUUCACUCUGUAACCAGGAGAAUUUUGCCAUUGGAAAAACAAAGAUGAAGGUAGAGUUACUGCUGGAGAAAUAACCCAGACAUUUCCCACAAAAGGGUUGGUGUUUUCUAAAACUGCUGGUAAAUUUAUUAUUCCAGGGCUUUUGAGAGCUAAACUGUCCUCACAGCUGACAUACUGAAAUGUUUUUGUAAAUGAUGGAAGUGUGUACCUUUUUGGUAAUAUUUCAUCCUUCCAGGCUAUGAAGUUAUCUUCUAACAUUUUCAAUCAGUAGAACCCAAGUGACAAAAACUUAUUUCACUGUGUUUUUAGGAAAUAUAUAUGGAUGAUAAGCCUAAAAAAAUGUUUUAGUGAAAGCAUUAGAGAUUCCACUGUUUAGACUAAAGUGAGAGACACUAUGGUUAGAGACUGGAUUAGAUUAAUAUUGGACACUUAAAUGUGGAGGUUUGUGUUGUGGAUUGGACUGUGCUUCUGGAAUUUUGCAGUUUUAGAAGGAUGGGGCAGGAAUAAGAACAUAGUAUGCUCUUAUUUGUUAGUCUUAUGUUGGAUUUUUUUUCUUAAUUUAAUUAAGAAAAGGAUUUCCAUUUUUUGUUGUAAAUGGAUGUUCCACAGUUGCGAACCACUGCAGAAUAAAUUUACCUGACUUUCCAUACUAAGAGCAGAGAAAAUGGCAGUGGAAUACGCAAAUGUCAUAAAAGAAGUUCUUCUAAGGUAAAAUGUAAACACUAAAUUAUUCUGUAGAUCAGUUGACUUUUGCACUUUCUGAGAAUAUAUGAACUUCAGUUUUUCAAGAUCAAUUGUAGCACUGAAUAAAGCUCUUUAAAACUAAA